GGCGGCAUGGCCAAGUGGUAAGGCGGGGGACUGCAAAUCCUUUAUCCCCGGUUCAAAUCCGGGUGUCGCCUGAUCAACCAA
Molecule: transfer RNA, 81 nt
Filed under: Allium maowenense
Lineage: Eukaryota; Viridiplantae; Streptophyta; Magnoliopsida; Asparagales; Amaryllidaceae
Description: tRNA-Cys
Rfam family: tRNA (bases 1-71)
About the family: Transfer RNA (tRNA) molecules are approximately 80 nucleotides in length. Their secondary structure includes four short double-helical elements and three loops (D, anti-codon, and T loops). Further hydrogen bonds mediate the characteristic L-shaped molecular structure. tRNAs have two regions of fundamental functional importance: the anti-codon, which is responsible for specific mRNA codon recognition, and the 3' end, to which the tRNAs corresponding amino acid is attached (by aminoacyl-tRNA synthetases). tRNAs cope with the degeneracy of the genetic code in two manners: having more than one tRNA (with a specific anti-codon) for a particular amino acid; and 'wobble' base-pairing, i.e. permitting non-standard base-pairing at the 3rd anti-codon position.
Source: RNAcentral